This 73-nucleotide transfer RNA is filed under the name Phyllomedusa bahiana. RNAcentral describes it as "tRNA-Asn". The record is from RNAcentral. Lineage: Eukaryota; Metazoa; Chordata; Amphibia; Anura; Hylidae.
UAGAAUGAAGCUCGCUGGAUAGAGCUUUUAGCUGUUAACUAAAUUUUUACGGGAUCAAGGCCCGUCUUUCUAG